UGCCCGAUCGUCUAAAGGUAGGACAACAGCCUUUGGAGCUGUGUAUUCAGGUUCGAAUCCUGAUCGGGCAU
Molecule: transfer RNA, 71 nt
Filed under: Patescibacteria group bacterium
Lineage: Bacteria
Description: tRNA-Gln
Rfam family: tRNA
About the family: Transfer RNA (tRNA) molecules are approximately 80 nucleotides in length. Their secondary structure includes four short double-helical elements and three loops (D, anti-codon, and T loops).
Source: RNAcentral